AGCCCUGCAGGUGAUGCCAAUGGUGCCAAGCAGGAGCCCGCCGAGUUUCUAAAGCUCAGUUCAGUUUAACGUUGGCCGGGACGGGAGUGUUUCCCGGAGCAGUUCUGUCUACAAGAACAGCGUUAAGAAAUUUGAAAUCAUCUUUGCCAUCAGGCCAGUCAGGAAAAAACAAAUGCAAGACUCGCCAAGCAGGAUCAUCAGAACUCGGUCCUCUGCCUUCAGUGAAUCUUAAGCCCCAGCAGCACAGCUUCGUUACUGCCACCGAGCAGGCAUUCAGUAAUGUCAUCUAGGACCCGGUUUCCUUCGGUCUGGACGCUCUGUCGUCCCCCAGGGAAGUCUCUUGGGAAAGCCCCCUUUCAUCACGUCCCGUACGUUUUGUUGACCACACUGGAUCAUCGUCUAUCGCUUGCUGAAGACAAGGGCAGGUAUUCUCACCUCUGGUUCUGACCCUGGCGCUGGGGGGCGCCUGCUCUGGCUCC
Molecule: long non-coding RNA, 479 nt
Filed under: Bos indicus x Bos taurus (hybrid cattle)
Lineage: Eukaryota; Metazoa; Chordata; Mammalia; Artiodactyla; Bovidae
Description: lncRNA (ENSBIXG00000010785.1)
Source: RNAcentral